Molecule: unclassified non-coding RNA, 312 nt
Filed under: plant metagenome
Description: partial contains 5.8S ribosomal RNA, internal transcribed spacer 2, and large subunit ribosomal RNA
Rfam family: 5.8S ribosomal RNA (bases 1-105)
Source: RNAcentral
GAAAUGCGAUAAGUAAUGUGAAUUGCAGAAUUCCGUGAAUCAUCGAAUCUUUGAACGCACAUUGCGCCCUCUGGCAUUCCGGGGGGUAUGCCUGUCCGAGCGUCAUUACGCACCCUCAAGCCCGGCUUGUGUGAUGGGCCCCGGCGUCUCGUUCGCGAGACGGGCCCGAAAGGCAGCGGCGGCGUCGACCCGAUGAGCCCGAGCGUAUGGGGACUUCUGUCACACGUUCGCGGUGCGGACCGGCGCCUACUUGACUUUUCUGAUUAUCCAGGUUGACCUCGGAUCAGGUAGGGAUACCCGCUGAACUUAAGC